AUGUACCACGCAUCCACUGCGGUUGUGAGCGCGCCGUCCGCGCACACCUGACAGCUGCUCGCUGCGUUGUGUGAACC
Molecule: small RNA, 77 nt
Filed under: Xanthomonas oryzae
Lineage: Bacteria; Pseudomonadati; Pseudomonadota; Gammaproteobacteria; Lysobacterales; Lysobacteraceae
Description: sX9
Rfam family: Xanthomonas sRNA sX9
Source: RNAcentral